ACAUGCCUACGACAUAGCCUUAAUGCACCAGAUUCCAUUAUAACUCUAUAGUUAAGCGCGCUCAAUCUAGAGUAGUACUGAGAUGGGUGACCGCCCAGGAAGUCCUAGUGUUUUACAUGCC
Picea glauca (white spruce) is the source of this 121-nucleotide non-coding RNA. The record is from Rfam. Lineage: Eukaryota; Viridiplantae; Streptophyta; Pinopsida; Pinales; Pinaceae.